CAUUGUGAAAUGGAAUCUGAAGGAAGCGUUAUGAGCAAAGUCCCGGCCCGAGGGACACGAAUCGUAUCAGGCAUCUGAAGUGGGAUGAAUCUGCAAAACAAGAUAAAAUCCAAUAAACUGCACAGACACGAAGAUGUAAAUACGGCGGGUAUAUGGGAUGAAGGUUGC
Molecule: non-coding RNA, 168 nt
Filed under: uncultured Clostridium sp.
Lineage: Bacteria; Bacillati; Bacillota; Clostridia; Eubacteriales; Clostridiaceae
Source: RNAcentral